UACGGAAGGCAGCAGUGGGGAAUAUUGCACAAUGGGCGAAAGCCUGAUGCAGCUAUGCCGCGUGUAUGAAGAAGGCCUUAGGGUUGUAAAGUACUUUCAUCGGGGAGGAAAAACAAAACUAAUAAUUUUAUUUCUUGACGUUACCCGAAAAAGAAGCACCGGCUAACUCCGUGCCAGCAGCCGCGGUAAUACGGGGGUGCUAGCGUUAAUCAGAAUUACUGGGCGUAAAGAGCACGUAGGUGGUUUUUUUAAAGUCAGAUGUGAAAUCCCUGGGCUUAACCUAGGAACUGCAUUUUGAAACUGAAAUACUAGAGUAUCGUAGAGGGAGGUAGAAUUCUAGGUGUAGCGGUGAAAUGCGUAGAUAUCUGGAGGAAUACCUGUGGCGAAAGCGGCCUCCUAAACGAAUACUGACACUGAGGUGCGAAAGCGUGGGGAGCAAACAGGGAUUAGAUACC
RNAcentral lists this ribosomal RNA (455 nucleotides) under uncultured bacterium. Its description in RNAcentral is "bacterial SSU rRNA". It matches the Rfam family "Bacterial small subunit ribosomal RNA", at positions 340 to 786 of the family's 1533-position model. The record is from RNAcentral.